This 321-nucleotide long non-coding RNA is filed under the name Homo sapiens (human). RNAcentral's name for it is "long non-coding RNA NONHSAT195739". Lineage: Eukaryota; Metazoa; Chordata; Mammalia; Primates; Hominidae. The record is from RNAcentral.
GUUCUAGAGGCUCCACUGCUGGCAUCUGUCCAGUGAAGAGUGUGGAAGCUAUCCAAGAGGCCUUCUGAAUUCCUCUGACAUAUAUUUGAGAAACUGGGCUACUGAAAGCCCUAACCCCACUUGGCUGCAUUUUAUUUGGUAACCAGUGAGGCAAACACCCUUGCCAGACCCCUACCAUCCAUCUUGAUGUGGUUCCUGCACUGGACACUGCUUGGGUACGGGCCUGCCCAGAUCUUGGGAAUGUGGGCAGUGGCUCCUCUGAAGCACCAGUGGGCAGAGGAUGAGUCAUGGUAUCCUCCCGGCACCCCUCCCUCUGCCUUG